This 117-nucleotide ribosomal RNA is filed under the name Bdellovibrionales bacterium. Lineage: Bacteria; Pseudomonadati; Bdellovibrionota; Bdellovibrionia; Bdellovibrionales. The record is from RNAcentral.
GCUGGUGUCUUUAGCGACGGGGACACACCUGAUCCCAUUCCGAACUCAGAAGUAAAGUCCGUCAGCGGCGAUGGUAAUGCAAGGGUAACUUUGUGUGAGAGUAGCACGAUGCCAGCU